AAUACUGACUCUGCUUAGCCUGUGAGCGCUCAGAUAUAGCCCAAGGGACCUGUGAGCCUCCCUUGGCUUCUGAGCCUGAAGGAUACUGCUAUCAGGGGAAGACUUCACCUACCCUUACCCCUGGCUUCCUAAGGUGCAGCCAGAAGUGGAGGAGCUGGAGCCAGCACCAACCGGGCCAGGGCAGCAGGUGGCAGAUAAGCAUGAGCUAGGACGACUGCAGUACUCCCUGGAUUAUGACUUCCAGAGUGGCCAGCUGCUGGUGGGCAUUCUGCAAGCAAUGGGAUUGGCAGCCUUGGAUCUUGGUGGCUCCUCGGACCCCUAUGUGCGGGUCUACCUGCUGCCAGACAAACGGAGGCGGUACGAGACCAAGGUGCAUCGGCAGACGCUGAACCCUCACUUUGGGGAGACUUUCGCCUUCAAGGUCCCCUACGUGGAGCUGGGGGGCAGGGUGCUGGUCAUGGCGGUGUACGACUUCGACCGCUUCUCUCGCAAUGACGCCAUCGGGGAGGUGCGGGUCCCCAUGAGCUCCGUGGACCUGGGGCGGCCAGUGCAGGCCUGGCGGGAGCUGCAGGCGGCUCCGCGGGAGGAGCAGGAGAAGCUUGGUGACAUCUGCUUCUCCCUCCGCUAUGUCCCCACGGCCGGGAAGCUCACCGUCAUUGUCCUGGAGGCUAAAAACCUGAAGAAGAUGGACGUAGGAGGACUGUCAGAUCCAUACGUCAAGGUCCACCUGCUGCAGGGCGGCAAAAAGGUGAGGAAGAAGAAAACCACCAUCAAGAAGAACACUCUGAACCCCUAUUACAACGAAGCUUUCAGCUUCGAGGUGCCCUGUGACCAAGUCCAGAAGGUGCAGGUGGAGCUGACCGUGCUGGACUACGACAAGCUGGGCAAGAACGAGGCCAUCGGGAGGGUGGCCGUGGGGGCGGCUGCCGGC
RNAcentral lists this small RNA (931 nucleotides) under Pongo abelii (Sumatran orangutan). RNAcentral describes it as "retained intron". Lineage: Eukaryota; Metazoa; Chordata; Mammalia; Primates; Hominidae. The record is from RNAcentral.